AGCGAACGCUGGCGGCAUGCCUAACACAUGCAAGUCGAACGAAGGCUUCGGCCUUAGUGGCGCACGGGUGCGUAACGCGUGGGAAUCUGCCCUUAGGUUCGGAAUAACAGUUAGAAAUGACUGCUAAUACCGGAUGAUGACGUAAGUCCAAAGAUUUAUCGCCUAGGGAUGAGCCCGCGUAGGAUUAGCUAGUUGGCGUGGUAAAGGCGCACCAAGGCGACGAUCCUUAGCUGGUCUGAGAGGAUGAUCAGCCACACUGGGACUGAGACACGGCCCAGACUCCUACGGGAGGCAGCAGUGGGGAAUAUUGGACAAUGGGCGCAAGCCUGAUCCAGCAAUGCCGCGUGAGUGAUGAAGGCCUUAGGGUUGUAAAGCUCUUUUACCCGGGAUGAUAAUGACAGUACCGGGAGAAUAAGCCCCGGCUAACUCCGUGCCAGCCGCCGCGGUAA
RNAcentral lists this ribosomal RNA (449 nucleotides) under uncultured bacterium. RNAcentral describes it as "partial 16S ribosomal RNA". It matches the Rfam family "Bacterial small subunit ribosomal RNA", at positions 29 to 523 of the family's 1533-position model. The record is from RNAcentral.